UGGGGAAUAUUGGACAAUGGGGGAAACCCUGAUCCAGCCAUGCCGCGUGGGUGAUGACGGCCUUAGGGUUGUAAAGCUCUUUCGCCGGUGAAGAUAAUGACGGUAACCGGUAAAGAAGCCCCGGCUAACUUCGUGCCAGCAGCCGCGGUAAUACGAAGGGGGCUAGCGUUGUUCGGAAUUACUGGGCGUAAAGCGCACGUAGGCGGACCAUUAAGUCAGGGGUGAAAUCCCGGGGCUCAACCCCGGAAUUGCCUCUGAUACUGGUGGUCUUGAGUCCGAGAGAGGUGAGUGGAACUCCGAGUGUAGAGGUGAAAUUCGUAGAUAUUCGGAAGAACACCAGUGGCGAAGGCGGCUCACUGGCUCGAACCUGACGCUGAGGUGCGAAAGUGUGGGGAGCAAACAGGAUUAGAUACCCGUGUAGUCC
RNAcentral lists this ribosomal RNA (424 nucleotides) under uncultured prokaryote. RNAcentral's name for it is "bacterial SSU rRNA". It matches the Rfam family "Bacterial small subunit ribosomal RNA", at positions 355 to 796 of the family's 1533-position model. The record is from RNAcentral.